This is a non-coding RNA of Acanthosepion pharaonis, 105 nucleotides long. Lineage: Eukaryota; Metazoa; Mollusca; Cephalopoda; Sepiida; Sepiidae. The record is from the annotation of a GenBank genome assembly.
UGGCGGUCAUAUCACGUUGAAACACCGGUUUGCGUACGAUCAUCAAAGUUAAGCAACGUCGAGCCUGGUCUUUACCUCGAUGGUUGACCGCUUGGAAAUAUAACG